This 5566-nucleotide long non-coding RNA is filed under the name Gossypium barbadense (sea-island cotton). RNAcentral describes it as "long non-coding RNA (GBAR_LNC013928)". Lineage: Eukaryota; Viridiplantae; Streptophyta; Magnoliopsida; Malvales; Malvaceae. The record is from RNAcentral.
UUACAGGUGAUAGCGUGGUUGGAGAUGUAUCUGAUCCUUUAGAUGGCAUUUUGGUUGGUCAGACACUAAAGCGUCGAGUGGUGACAGAGCACUUAGUUGAACUGCAAAAACAUGGUAGACCAGAAAACCAAAGUCAAAACUUGAGAUUUGGCACGGAAAAUGAUAGACCACAAGAGUCUGUGCCCAACACCGACGCUAUCAGUGAUCAAAGUAAUUUUCCUUUUCUAUAAGGAGAUUAAAAUGUUGGUCUAUUUCUAUUAGACUGAAUAUGUGAAACAUGUAAUUAUAUCUUUCUGUUAGAAGUGCAGGAAGUUGCCUCUCUCUUCAGGUUGUCUCGGGUCCUUCUUGUGGACUUCAUUGUUCUGUACUGUCAACAAGCACUGCAAGGCUACCAUUGACCCUUGGAAGAGUUCCUCCAAGUUAUUUAUUAUUGAAGGAUUAUGAGGUUUCCGGAAAGCAUGCAAUGAUAACUUGGAAUUUAAAUGUAAACUCCUUAUAAGUUGAAUGACAUGAUUUGCAUUUUGUUGCAUUAUGUAUGUAUGGUUCACUAAGUGUUUUAAAUGUGUACAAACUUUAUAGAAAUUGAGAUGGGAGCUGGUGGACAUGGGUAGUCUGAACGGAACACUGUUGAAUUCUCAUCCAAUUAAUCAUCCUGAUCCUGGAAGUAGGCUAUGGGGUGACCCAGUGGAACUUGCAAGUGGAGACACAAUAACAGUUGGCACAACCUCAAACAUUUAUGUAAGUCAACUUCUUUUCAAUUUACUUGUAGUUCUGGCACUUUUGCUUUUAAAAAUGUCAAAUUUUCUAGUUAAAUUGUAAUAUAUCUAUAUGUAUUGGAGUUUGCAUGAACAAGAUCUUUUCUUUAUUCACUUCUUCAGGAUAUUGGAGUUUUUGCAAACUAGUAAAAUUUUAUUUUAGUAGUUUGAUGAGAUUGUCGUAAUCUGGGAACAUGAAUUUAGAAAUGACUUCCUUUCUUUCCUUUUUCUACUCAGGAUCAUCUCACUAAUGUUAAGUACCUUUUAAGAAAUUGUGUCAAAUGCAAGCAAUAUAUACAUUUGACGUUCUAAAAAUAUUUAACUUUUUUUUAAUUCUAUUUGUUGAAAAUUUUUUAUUUAUUCCCAAGGAACUCUCAUCUGCUUAUGUUCCAUAACUAUUCUUCUAUGUUGCUAAGAUAAAUUGAGGAACUGAACAGCAAUGGUGCAAAUCAGUUAUGAUAGAUAGCUUGUUGUCCAAUCAAUAAGAGAAGAUCAUUUAUGGUAAUGGGAUUGUGGACAUGAUUGUUCACUUAACUGCUUGAGUUUUCUGAUGGAUUCUUUUGUUGUUUAAGUAAUUUCUUUAAUGCGGUCAGUGCAUAUAAUAUGACCAUUUUUGUUUGUAAUGCAUGGCAUAUUGGAUUUGAAGCUAUUUUUACUGAUUGUUUUUUUUAUUUUUCUCCUGUAACAGGUUCAUAUUUCAUCCCACAAUGAGCGUCUGGUCCCUUUUGGAGUUGGUAUGACUUCAGACCCUAUGUCAUUGCGUCGAGGAGGAAAGAAGCUUCCAAUGGAAGAUGUUUGCUAUUAUCAUUGGCCUCUUCCUGGCAUUUAUCAGGUUUUCAAUUUUUGAUAUUUUAGUUUAUAUUUUUCUGCUUCUACCAGAAGCAACAGAAUUCGAUAUUUUUUUUGUGCUGAUAUUGCAGUUUGGAGUUUUUGGUAUCUGUGAUGGACAUGGUGGUGUUGGUGCAGCUAAAUCCGCAAGCAAGUUAGUCUCCCGUUCUCAUCUUGAGUGUGUUCUUGCCAGGGUUUGUGGCUAGUAAUGUGCUUGUUUUCCCACCGUGUCCACAGAUGGAGUGUUAUGGCUAUACAAAAUUAAUGUUGUCCUCAUAGUUUUUAGAGUUUGUUUUUCUUUUGUACUCUUUGAUACAUGUAUAUACAUGUUCUUCUGUGUUGUCUCGUGCUUAUUCUAAAUUGGCAAGUUCCAUACUGAAUGCCUGAAUUGUUCUUCUCCUGUAGUCUGAAGCUUUGAAUUUCAGAUCUAAGGUUUCUGAUAGGACAAAAUACUAGUAAUUCUGCCUUUUGUUAGCCAUUAUUUUGAUUUUUAAGGAACUAUUUUACUAAAAUUUGAAGAAUUUGAUGUCUAGGAUUCUGCCUGAGAUGGUUGCUACCAUUUUAACGGACUCUGUAAAAAGAGAGAGGGUUGUGUCAGGACAAGAUGCCUCAGAUGUUCUCAGAGAUGCAUUCUCUCAGACAGAAGCUUCUAUGAAUAACUAUUAUGAGGUUUUUCCUUCCCCUGUUUUAUCUUAUUUACUUUGCGGUUCUGUUUGCCCUUUCAUUGGCUAAUCUCUCAUAGUGCACCAGAAUGCACCUUAAUAUCCUCUACGUUAACCUGGAAACGGGGGUAUCAGAUAUGGGUAUGUGUCCGACACAAGUGUACUUAAACUUUUUCGAAGUUUUUCCAUAUACUUGGAAGAUGAUACUCUAUACUCGUGUUCAAAUGUGUCGAACGCAGGCACCAGACCUAGAUACUUUAAGGAAAAUGAAGAGUGCAUGUAGCAUAGAACGCCUUUGUAUGUUGUAUUUAUCCUUUCCCUUUUUGUAAUGGUUUGUACUAUGCUAGAACUAUUUAUUGUUGAAUAAUAAUAUAAAUAUUCUAGCUAUUGCAUUUUCUCUUCUUUGGACUUUUCGUGGCCUUUUGGUCUUCACUAGAUUUAAUUGUUUAUUUUCAAUUAUGGACCCUUUUUUCUGCCUUCGUUGAAGUUGGUUUUUUUUGUAUAUCAUCAUAGUUUUUUACUUGCAGGGCUGUACGGCGACACUGCUUCUGGUUUGGGCUGAUGCUGAUGAAAACUUUUUUGCACAAUGUGCAAAUGUUGGAGAUUCUGCAUGUUUUAUAAAGUAAGUGUUUCUAUUCUUAUUAUUCCAAUUCGUAGGAGCUGUAAGGUGACUGUUAUUUUACGAUCAAAUUCCAUUGUGUAAAAUAUGGGUUCACUCAGAAUUAGUUGUCUGCUAUUCUUAGGAAUAUUUUGAUUUGAAAGUUAAAAAUACAGGAUGGGUUGCUUUCAGCAAUUUGUAAAGAAAGCUAUUGGCAUAUGUUAGAAGCUACUUGUGCUAAGGUUUUGCUAGGUAGAAUAGAAAGAAAAUGAAAAAUAUGGAAAAUUGGAGUAGAAAAUAUAUGUUUUCUUUCCAUUGGUGUGUGUUUGGUAGGAAAAAAGGGAAAAUAGAAAGAAAAAGUAUAUUUUUUCAUUCAUUGCUUGGUAGAGUUGAAAAAUAAGAGGAAAGAAAAUGGAACUUUGGAAAAUCGUAUAAUUUUGAACUAACUUACAUCUCUCAUUUUCUUGCCUCUUAUAAUUUCAAUUGGAAAAAUGAUAGAAAAUGAUUAUCUCUUUUAUUUUAUUUUCUCUCACUUUUUAUUCCUACCAAAGACAUUCAAAGUAUAUUUUCUUUCCAUUUUUUUUCAUUCCCCCUUUUCAUCCUUCUUUUACACUCAACCAAGCAUACCUUAAUUGCUGUCAUUCUAGUCUCGGAUUCAUCUAACCAUGUCUUUAUAUUGAAGUACUGAUAAUAGUGACAAUUUUAGUUUGAUUGCUUUGCUGGAUGCUUCUUGUACUGUCAAUCUAUCUUAUUUCUGUCUUACCUUGAGCAGAAUUCUCUCCAUUUUUCUAUUUUUUGGUAUAAUUUUCUUAUCUUCUCAUCGUCUAUUUAGAAGCAAAAUGGUUAUUAUGAUAAUAGCUUCUGUUAUUGUACUUAUGACCCAAUACAAUUUUAAUGACAGCAUGGACGGUAAACAGAUUAAGAUGACUGAAGACCAUAAAGUAACGAGUUGUUCUGAAAGACUCCGAAUUGAAGGAAUAGGGGAACCAUUAAAAGAUGGGGAAACACGGUUAUGUGGUAAGUGCAAAUUUCUGCAUCUAGUCAUUACUGUCAGGAUUCAGCAGCAUCACAAAAUUAAGGUACAUCAUUUGCAUAUUUGACCAUUCCAUUUCAGGUUUGAACCUCGCUAGGAUGCUUGGAGACAAAUUUGUGAAACAGCAAGAUUCUCGCUUUAGUUCCGAGCCUUAUAUAAGUCAAGUUGUGCAUCUCAAAAAAUCAAGUGGCGCAUUUGCACUACUGGCAAGGUGAUUCUAUUUUUCUGUCACUGUUGGGAAUUUUUGUACGCUAAAAUGUAUUGCCAUUGUUGUAGGGGUAUUUUGUCAUCUACUUUAUCUGGACUGUUCAUUUUUCCUAAAGCAUUGGUGUCUGACAUAGAUUUGUACAUUAGUAUGGAGGGAUUGAUCUUCCAAAUAUAUGAAAAACCCAUAAAAAAAUUUUGAGCGUACCUAUAUCAAAAGGAUAUCCAUAUUAGACAUUGUUGAGGGGAGGCCAACUCGUUUUGGAGUUUUUUAAUUGUCAUCCGUUGGGAGCCAGCGGACCUCUCUACGGGUCGGUAUUAUCCCCUAGUUGGGGUUGUCUCCCGACUCUAGAAAGCGCUAGUGCCUGAGGUGAUAGGUUCAUAGAGCAGGAACGCCUUGUCAAAAUCAGUGCAUAGUCACCUACCAAAGGAAAUGUGGACGUUUGCCUAUGGUAGGGUUUGAACCCCCAACCUAUAGCUUAUAGGUCGUCUUGAGGGGAGCAUUUGUUGAGUAGAGGCCAUCUCCUUCCGGAAAAGUCUUUUAAAUGUCAUUUGUUGGGAGCCGACUAACCCUUCAAUGGUUUGGUAUUGUCUCUAGUCGGGGUUUUAUCUCUUGACUCUAGCGAGAGUCCAAGUGCUUGAGAGGAGCAUGGUAACAUUUGAUUUAGCUGUCGGCUUCCGAUAGAUGACACUUUGAAGAUUUCUCUGGAAGAAGUCGACCUCCCCCUCAACAGACAUUAACUUCCGAGUCCGGGUAAAUAUAGUCUGUCACUAAAGCCAUGUUUUAUCUACAUUUUUGGGUUUAGCUCGCAUAAUAUGAUCCAUUGUAGCUUGUCAUUAACACCUUUUUGUUUUAUUUACCUUUCCUAACCAGCCUUCUCGUGUUUUUCUUGUUUGGACUCUCUUUAUUAUUUGGACAUUUUGUUUGACAUAGUUGAAAUGUGGAUCUGAUUUGUGCACUGAUUGCAGUGAUGGAUUGUGGGAUGUUGUUAGCUUUAAGAAGGCAGUUCAAUUAGUUGUACAGGUAUUAUUGUUAUUAUUGUAACAUUAUAUAUAAUAUACAGUUUCUAGACUUGUGGUCCCAACUUGAUUUACCCGAAUCUUCCUACCCGAUUUAACCGUACAAAGUCAGCAACUUGAACCUGCCCAACCUGAAUCCAGAAAAGAUUCAAACCAAAGAUUACCUGAAUCUGAAAUAAUUUGAACUCGGAAUGAUUCAUACCCGAAAUACCCAAACUUGAGUGCCAAAACCUGAAAUUACUAGCUCUGGAAAAUCAUUAGGCAAAUCCGAAUGACCUGAGACUGAAACAACUCAAAACUGAAAUUACCCGUAUUAGAAAUGACUAGACCUGAAAAACUGAUAACCGAACCUGAAUGACCUGAAACCGAAACAACAAAUUUAUAUUUUAACCUGAUCUUAUAAUUGACCGUGUAGACGAGGGAGAGACAUCCGACAGAAACGGAGAAUUUGGCAGAGAAGAUUGCU